RNAcentral lists this ribosomal RNA (441 nucleotides) under uncultured bacterium. Its description in RNAcentral is "partial 16S ribosomal RNA". It matches the Rfam family "Bacterial small subunit ribosomal RNA", at positions 338 to 795 of the family's 1533-position model. The record is from RNAcentral.
CCUACGGGGGGCAGCAGUGGGGGAUAUUGCACAAUGGGGGGAACCCUGAUGCAGCGACGCCGCGUGGGUGAAGGAGUAUUUCGGUAUGUAAAGCCCUAUCGGCAGGGAAGAAAUUGGACGGUACCUGACUAAGAAGCCCCGGCUAACUACGUGCCAGCAGCCGCGGUAAUACGUAGGGGGCAAGCGUUAUCCGGAUGCACUGGGGGUAAAGGGAGCGUAGACGGCCAUGCAAGCCAGGGGGGAAAGCCCGGGGCCCAACCCCGGGACUGCCCUUGGAACUGCAUGGCUGGAGUGCGGGAGGGGCAGGCGGAAGGCCUGGUGUAGCGGUGAAAUGCGGAGAUAUCAGGAGGAACACCGGCGGCGAAGGCGGCCUGCUGGACCGCGACUGACGUUGAGGCUCGAAAGCGUGGGGAGCGAACAGGAUUAGAUACCCCAGUAGUC